Molecule: ribosomal RNA, 156 nt
Filed under: Lamprothamnium succinctum
Lineage: Eukaryota; Viridiplantae; Streptophyta; Charophyceae; Charales; Characeae
Description: 5.8S ribosomal RNA
Rfam family: 5.8S ribosomal RNA
About the family: 5.8S ribosomal RNA (5.8S rRNA) is a component of the large subunit of the eukaryotic ribosome. It is transcribed by RNA polymerase I as part of the 45S precursor that also contains 18S and 28S rRNA.
Source: RNAcentral
GAACUCUCGGCAAACGAAUAUCUUGGCCCUCGCAACGAUGAAGAGCGCAGCGAAAUGCGAUACUCAAUGUGAAUUGCAGAAAUCCGUGAGCCAUCGAUACCUUGAACGCACGUGGCGCCCGAGGCUUCUGCCGAGGGCACGCCCGCCUGAGCAUCA